Molecule: unclassified non-coding RNA, 351 nt
Filed under: soil metagenome
Description: partial contains 5.8S ribosomal RNA, internal transcribed spacer 2, and large subunit ribosomal RNA
Rfam family: 5.8S ribosomal RNA (bases 1-120)
Source: RNAcentral
GAUGAAGAACGUAGUGAAAUGCGAUAAGUAAUGUGAAUUGCAGAAUUCAGUGAAUCAUUGAAUCUUUGAACGCACAUUGCGCCCGCCAGUAUUCUGGCGGGCAUGCCUGUCUGAGCGUCAUUUCAACCCUCAGCCCCCGCUCGCGGGGCGCUGGCGUUGGGGAUCGGCCGUCCUCGCGGCGGCCGGCCCCGAAACACAGUGGCGGUCUCUCGCGGACUCCCCUGCGUAGUAGCACUACCUCGCAGAAGGGACGAGCGGGCUGACCACGCCGUAAAACCCCCCACUUCUCCAGGUUGACCUCAGAUCAGGUAGGAAUACCCGCUGAAUUUAAGCAUAUCAAUAAGCGGAGGA